AUGAGAAAAUGGAGGCCAAGGGAGUGAGUUGUCUGUCCAAGAUGACACAAACUACAGUUGGCUGAGCCAGGAUUUGAUCCCAGAGCCUGUGUUCUUUAUCGCUGUGCUGAAUUUCUUCCAAUGAGGCUCUUCUUAACACAGACUAUGUGGGAUACAUAAAGGAGCACAUUGCUGGCAGUGAACACGGAGCUGCUGGACUGUCAGAUAAAACAGGAGAACAACAUAUGCAAAGGCCAGAGAAGCCAUGCUUGGAGAAGAGGGAAUAAUGGGGAAGCCUAGAACA
Delphinapterus leucas (beluga whale) is the source of this 283-nucleotide long non-coding RNA. RefSeq lists it as uncharacterized. The record is from RefSeq and is a predicted model, not a curated record. NCBI's taxonomy places the organism in Eukaryota, Metazoa, Chordata, Mammalia, Artiodactyla, Monodontidae.